GACGAACGCUGGCGGCGUGCCUAAUACAUGCAAGUCGAACGCUGAAGUUCUGAGCUUUCUCUUCUUGGAAGAGUUGCGAACGGGUGAGUAACGCGUAGAUAACCUGCCUUGUAUCGGGGGAUAACUAUUUGGAACGAUAUCUAAUACCGCAUAACACUGUAUUACACAUGUCACUUAUUUUAAAGAGGCAGUUGCUCCACUACAAUAUGGACCUGCUUUGUUUUAUUUAGUAGGUGAGGUAAUAGCUCACCUACGCGACGAUACAUAGUCGCCCUGGUAGGGUGAACGGCCAAAAUGGGACUGAGACAAGGCCCAGAAUCCUAAGGGAAGCAGCAGGAGGGAAUCUUCGGGAAUGGGGGGAAACCUGAACGGGCAACGCCGCGUGAGGGAAGAAGGGUUUCGGAUCGGAAAGCUCUGUUGUAAGGCAAGAAAGGGUGUGAGAGUGGAAAGUUCACAAUGUGACGGUAGCUUACCAGAAAGGGACGGCUAACUACGUG
This 497-nucleotide ribosomal RNA is filed under the name uncultured bacterium. Its description in RNAcentral is "partial 16S ribosomal RNA". It matches the Rfam family "Bacterial small subunit ribosomal RNA", at positions 28 to 507 of the family's 1533-position model. The record is from RNAcentral.